Molecule: ribosomal RNA, 395 nt
Filed under: uncultured bacterium
Lineage: Bacteria
Description: partial 16S ribosomal RNA
Rfam family: Bacterial small subunit ribosomal RNA
Source: RNAcentral
UAUUGGACAAUGGGCGCAAGCCUGAUCCAGCCAUGCCGCGUGCGUGAUGAAGGCCUUCGCGUUGUAAAUCUCUUUCAGUGGGGAAGAUAAUGACGGUACCCACAGAAGAAGCCCCGGCUAACUGCGUGCCAGCAGCCGCGGUAAUACGAAGGGGGCUAGCGUUGUUCGGAUUUACUGGGCGUAAAUCGCACGUAGGCGGAUUGGUCAGUUAGGGGUGAAAUCCCGGAGCUCAACUCCGGAAAUGCCUUUAAUACUGCCAGUCUAGAGACCGAGAGAGGUGAGUGGAACUCCUAGUGUAGGGGUGGAAUUCGUAGAUAUUAGGAAGAACACCAGUGGCGAAGGCGGCUCACUGGCUCGGUACUGACGCUGAGGUGCGAAAGCGUGGGGAGCAAACA